UACGUAGGUGGCAAGCGUUGUCCGGAUUUAUUGGGUUUAAAGGGUGCGUAGGCGGCCUUUUAAGUCAGUGCUGAAAUACUCUAGCUUAACUAGAGGGGUGGCAUUGAUACUGAAAGGCUUGAGUGAAGUCGAGGUAGGCGGAAUUGACGGUGUAGCGGUGAAAUGCUUAGAUAUCGUCAAGAACACCGAUAGUGAAGACAGCUUACUAGACUUCAACUGACGCUGAGGCACGAAAGUGUGGGGAUCAAACAGG
RNAcentral lists this ribosomal RNA (253 nucleotides) under uncultured bacterium. Its description in RNAcentral is "partial 16S ribosomal RNA". It matches the Rfam family "Bacterial small subunit ribosomal RNA", at positions 524 to 776 of the family's 1533-position model. The record is from RNAcentral.